AGAGCUUUCUGCCUGAGCUUUGGAUGUGGAGCCCCUGAGACCUCCAUCAUGAAUAAUUCAGAGCUGGGUGGUCUUAGCACUCCAUUGAAGAUUGUCAUUGGGUUUUGAAGCGGAAUGACUCUUCCUUCCAGCGAGUCCUCAAUGAGGAUGCAGCAGAUAGACUCACUGCAGGAGAGGAAUGCUACCAGCUAGGCACUGCCAUACAGCCAGCGAGUCAUUACUGACCCCAGGGGGCGUCUCCUCAAUGACACACAGCACAUUCCGCUACGUGGAAGGUAAAGAGACCCAUGCUAUACCCUUCCUCUGGGGGGUCAAUGUCUGACAGAUUCUGGUAGACUACGGACGGGCCUGUGUGUGGCAUCGCUGGUUUCCUAUUACAAUAAGUGACCUGUAAGAUCCUGUGUACUAAAUCCCUUCCUACCUCCAAGUGAGCAGAGGUUCAGAUCAGACACAGGACUGUGGACAUCAGCUGCUCUGAAGAACCCUACAGUGAAAGAAGCUGGUAGUAUCUGAAACCCACCACCAUCUCCAAAGCUGAUGUGGUUGUGACCCUAAUGGCUCUUAAGCUUUAUAUACUAUUGCUGCUGCUCUGUGGAAGUACGGUCUCCGAAAAAGCCCUCUCUUACAACACUGCACCAUUGGAUUUUGGAUAUGUACCCACUGGAAGUUAUGACACCAACGCCUACCAUGAGCCAGGACCUAUAGGCUUAUUGUUUCAGUUAGUGCAAGGGUUCCUGUAUAUUGUGCAGCCAAAUGCAUUUCCUCAAGAUUUAGUGAAACGAAUAGCACAGCAGAAGUUUGGUGAAUCACGCAAUGACUAUCAAAAGCCGGAAAACGUAGUCCUGACUCUGCAGACCAUACACUAUGAGAUUGGCUUCAUCGUGGCUGCCGCCCUAGGUCUCGUUUUUUUCCUUUUGAUGCCCCUGGUGGGAUUGUGUUUCUGCAUGUGUCGUUGCUGUGAUAACUGUGGAGGGGAGAUGCAUCAAAGAAGCAAGAAGAAUGCAGACUGCCAGAGAGGAUGCAUUUCCACCUUCCUCUUUGUGACGUCUUUGAUAAUAAGUCUUGGUGUUCUCUGUGCAUUUGCUGCAAAUCAGAAUCUUACUGACCAAAUUCGAGGGUCAAAAAAACUGGUGCAAAGCAACUUUAAGGACCUGAAGACCCUGCUGGCAGAUUCUCCACUGCAAAUUGACUAUGUAUUGGACAAGUUCAACAUCACCAAGGACAAGGCUCUGGCAGAACUGAGCAAUGUUGGGCCUUUGCUGGGAGAGCGCGUCCAUGAGCAGCUCGGGAAAGAAGUGCGUCCUGCUUUUGAUGGUGUUCUCAACAUGGCUGGAGCAAUCAAGGAAACAAAAGAAGCGUUGGAGAACGUCAGCGUGUCUUUGGAAAUCCUUCAGGAGGCAAUGGACCGCCUAGACUUAAACCUUACAGAUGCCAAGGUACAACUAAACACUACGCUGAGUGACCCGGCAUGCUUCACCAACGUGGCAAUGAUUACCUGCAACAAGAUCAAGAACUCACUCUCACAGCUAAGGGCCAAUGCCAACUUCAGUUUGUUACCAGAUCUAAACCAGCAUCUUGGCAAAUUAAACAACGUUCUCAAGACGGAUCUCAGUAACUUUGUACAAAAGGGUUAUGCCGCUUUCAAUAACACUCCAGAAAUGGUACAAAAUCAAACUAAAAACAUAGAGGAAGAUGUGAAGAACAUUUUGGAUUCCAUCGGAGCAAAUAUAACAAAAUUUUCCAAAAUGAUCCCAGUCAUUCACAUAAUGUCCAACCUUACGUUCUAUCUAACCCAAAGUGAGAUGUAUGUCCGAGAUUAUUAUCCUGUUAUCGAGCAGUAUGACUCUUACAGGUGGCUCGGAUCUCUUGUCCUCUGUUGCAUGGUGACACUUAUUGUGGUUUUCUACUUCCUUGGCCUCCUAUUUGGUUCCUGUGGUUAUGACCAACAUGCUUCUCCAACCACGAGAGGCUGUGUCUCAAAUACUGGAGGGAACUUUCUCAUGGCUGGAGUUGGAUUCAGCUUUAUCUUCUCCUGGAUUCUCAUGCUUAUUGUGAUUGUUACAUUUCUGGCCGGAGGAAAUGUAGAAAAGCUGGUGUGUGAGCCUUUCCAAGACAAGUCUUUGUUUAAGGUUCUGGAUACUCCAUAUCUGCUGAAUUCACAGUGGAAAAAUUAUCUCUCCGGUGUCCUAUAUCAAAAUGCCAAUAUGAAUCUCACUUUUGAAAAGGUCUACAGUGACUGCAAGGAAAACAAGGGCAUUUUUACGGCUCUUCAGAUUGAUCAUAUGUUUAAUCUUAAUGAGUUCUUAAACAUCAACCAGUAUGUUGAUGAAAUAUCAGAUCGGAUUGAGCUGAUGAAUAUAAACCUGAAGGAUAUUGUUUUGCUGGAUCAAAAAGGAAGAAAGAAUUUAGAAGAUUUCAGCACAACGGGGAUUGAUACAAUAGACUUUGAUGCAUUUUUAGCUGAGACAGGUAAAAGCAGUACAAAAGUGGAUCUGUUGGCAUUUGCCAAUGAACUAGAGGGAAAUGCUGACAUGCUGCCAAAAGGUGCAUUAGGAAACGCUAUAAAAGGCCACGCUAAUAGUAUACGGAUGAUCCACCUUCAGCAGGUCGUACCGAUGGAGCAGACAAUGAGUGUUUUAAAUCAAAGCAUUAAAUUGCUAGAGAGGACAUCGUUCGAUAUUGAGGAAAAGGUACAUGACGUGAUUUCAUCGAUUGACGCCGCUCAAGCACUGAUCAAUACCAAUGCUUCCACGAUCAUAAAGCAGGAAUCUAAAAAGUUCAUGAAUACAGUCAUCGGCUACUUCGUUCAGUAUAUUCACUGGGUGAAACAGUCAAUGGCCCUGGACGUUGCGGGGUGUAAGCCCGUUGCAAAUGUUGUAGACACUGCAGUAGACGUGUUUUUAUGCAGCUAUAUAAUAGAUUCAGUGAAUGCCUUCUGGUUUGGUUUGGGAGGCGCUACAGUAUUUUUAAUCCCCGCUAUUAUUUUUGCUGUCAAGUUAGCAAAGUUCUAUCGCAGGAUGGAGACAGAAGACGUUUAUGAUGAUGUUGAAACUGUCCCCAUGAAAAAUAUGGAAAAUGGUAAUAAUGGUUAUCAUAAUGAGUAUUUGUAUGGUAUACGCAAUCCUAUAAUGACCAGCUUGUCUUCAUUUGAUACUGUGAGUAGAUUCCCUCGCGCUUCUGCCCCACCACGUCAAGAUGAUUGAUGAGACCUAUCCAGUUGUUUGAGAUUGUGGAGUGCUGUGGAACAGUGGUAGAAGACAAUGAAGAUUCUGAUGUAGCAUUAUAAAGUGAGAUCACAGAACUUGAGUCUCCGCAGGGUGUAAGAUUUUUUUUUUGUAAUAUGUAAGAAAUGACUGCCGGACAGACAGCAAACCUUCACAGAUCUCCAGAGUCUUCAAAAACCUCCCUUCCAAAAAGAAGAAAUUGUACGUGGACACCCUUACAAAUUCCAUACCUGUGACACUUAUCUUAUAAUUAUAUGUAAGUCUGUCACUGCCAAGAAGUAAUGCUGUGCAUAGCGGAAUGAAGGGGUUAAGAACAAGUGUUUACACUAGUCCUACUUUUUGUAUGACGACUUUUGUAUUAUACUCACUAUUUAUUAUGGUAUUUUAGUUACAUGUUCUGUAAAGAGAGGAAAAGGGUAAUCGCCUACCAUUUCAGUUUGUAAAUCUUCACUUGUAUGGUCCAUCAAAGUAAACCUUGUUUAAUAACA
RNA transcript from Bufo gargarizans (Asiatic toad), 3712 nucleotides. It is a transcript of the gene named prominin 1, with no coding region annotated. NCBI's taxonomy places the organism in Eukaryota, Metazoa, Chordata, Amphibia, Anura, Bufonidae. The transcript has 30 exons. The record is from RefSeq and is a predicted model, not a curated record.